GAUGGACCCGCGUCUGAUUAGCCAGUUGGCAGGGUAACGGCCUACCAAAGCGACGAUCAGUAGCCGAUCUGAGAGGAUGUACGGCCACAUUGGGACUGAGACACGGCCCAGACUCCUACGGGAGGCAGCAGUGGGGAAUAUUGCACAAUGGAGGAAACUCUGAUGCAGCGACGCCGCGUGAGUGAAGAAGUAUUUCGGUAUGUAAAGCUCUAUCAGCAGGGAAGAAAAUGACGGUACCUGACUAAGAAGCACCGGCUAAAUACGUGCCAGCAGCCGCGGUAAUACGUAUGGUGCAAGCGUUAUCCGGAUUUACUGGGUGUAAAGGGAGCGUAGGUGGCAAGGCAAGCCAGAAGUGAAAACCCGGGGCUCAACCGCGGGAUUGCUUUUGGAACUGUCAUGCUAGAGUGCAGGAGGGGUGAGCGGAAUUCCUAGUGUAGCGGUGAAAUGCGUAGAUAUUAGGAGGAACACCGGAGGCGAAGGCGGCUCACUGGACUGUAACUGACACUGAGGCUCGAAAGCGUGGGGAGCAAACAGGAUUAGAUACCCUGGUAGUCCACGCGGUAAACGAUGAAUACUAGAUGUCGGGGAGCAUAGCUUCUCGGUGUCGUCGCAAACGCAAUAAGUAUUCCACCUGGGGAGUACGUUCGCAAGAAUGAAACUCAAAGGAAUUGACGGGGACCCCGCACAAGCGGUGGAGCAUGUGGUUU
This 707-nucleotide ribosomal RNA is filed under the name uncultured bacterium. RNAcentral describes it as "bacterial SSU rRNA". It matches the Rfam family "Bacterial small subunit ribosomal RNA", at positions 224 to 947 of the family's 1533-position model. The record is from RNAcentral.